This 475-nucleotide ribosomal RNA is filed under the name uncultured bacterium. RNAcentral describes it as "bacterial SSU rRNA". It matches the Rfam family "Bacterial small subunit ribosomal RNA", at positions 33 to 507 of the family's 1533-position model. The record is from RNAcentral.
ACGCUGGCGGCGUGCCUAACACAUGCAAGUCGAACGAGAAUCGAUGGAUUGAGACUUCGGUUGAUUGAAGUUGAGGAAAGUGGCGAACGGGUGAGUAACGCGUGAGGAACCUACCUUUCAGUGGGGGACAACAGUUGGAAACGACUGCUAAUACCGCAUAAUGUCAUCUGGUCGCAUGGCCUAAUGACCAAAGGAUUUAUUCGCUGAAGGAUGGACUCGCGUCCGAUUAGAUAGUUGGUGGGGUAACGGCCUACCAAGUCGACGAUCAGUAGCCGGCCUGAGAGGGUGACCGGCCACAUUGGGACUGAGACACGGCCCAAACUCCUACGGGAGGCAGCAGUGGGGAAUAUUGCACAAUGGGGGAAACCCUGAUGCAGCAACGCCGCGUGAGUGAAGAAGUAUUUCGGUAUGUAAAGCUCUAUCAGCAGGGAGGAAAAUGACGGUACCUGACUAAGAAGCCCCGGCUAACUACGUG